UCUCCGUAGGUGAACCUGCGGAGGGAUCAUUACAAGUGACCCCGGUCUUACCACCGGGAUGUUCAUAACCCUUUGUUGUCCGACUCUGUUGCCUCCGGGGCGACCCUGCCUUCGGGCGGGUGCUCCGGGUGGACACUUCAAACUCUUGCGUAACUUUGGAGUCUGAGUAAACUUAAUUAAUAAAUUAAAACUUUUAACAACGGAUCUCUUGGUUCUG
RNAcentral lists this unclassified non-coding RNA (217 nucleotides) under plant metagenome. Its description in RNAcentral is "partial contains small subunit ribosomal RNA, internal transcribed spacer 1, and 5.8S ribosomal RNA". The record is from RNAcentral.